This 694-nucleotide ribosomal RNA is filed under the name uncultured soil bacterium. RNAcentral's name for it is "bacterial SSU rRNA". It matches the Rfam family "Bacterial small subunit ribosomal RNA", at positions 56 to 761 of the family's 1533-position model. The record is from RNAcentral.
UGCAAGUCGAACGGUGAAAGAGGAGCUUGCUCCUCUGGAUCAGUGGCGAACGGGUGAGUAACACGUGAGUAACCUGCCCCUCACUCUGGGAUAACACUUGGAAACAGGUGCUAAUACCGGAUACGACCCUCGGAGGCAUCUCCUGGGGGUGGAAAGAAUUUCGGUGAGGGAUGGACUCGCGGCCUAUCAGCUAGUUGGUGAGGUAAUAGCUCACCAAGGCGACGACGGGUAGCCGGCCUGAGAGGGUGACCGGCCACACUGGGACUGAGACACGGCCCAGACUCCUACGGGAGGCAGCAGUGGGGAAUAUUGCACAAUGGGCGCAAGCCUGAUGCAGCAACGCCGCGUGAGGGACGACGGCCUUCGGGUUGUAAACCUCUUUUAGUAGGGAAGAAGCGAAAGUGACGGUACCUGCAGAAAAAGCACCGGCUAACUACGUGCCAGCAGCCGCGGUGAUACGUAGGGUGCAAGCGUUGUCCGGAAUUAUUGGGCGUAAAGAGCUCGUAGGCGGUUUGUCGCGUCUGCUGUGAAAACCCGAGGCUCAACCUCGGGCCUGCAGUGGGUACGGGCAGACUAGAGUGCGGUAGGGGAGAUUGGAAUUCCUGGUGUAGCGGUGGAAUGCGCAGAUAUCAGGAGGAACACCGAUGGCGAAGGCAGAUCUCUGGGCCGUAACUGACGCUGAGGAGCGAAAGCG